Molecule: ribosomal RNA, 253 nt
Filed under: uncultured bacterium
Lineage: Bacteria
Description: partial 16S ribosomal RNA
Rfam family: Bacterial small subunit ribosomal RNA
Source: RNAcentral
UACGUAGGGUGCGAGCGUUAAUCGGAAUUACUGGGCGUAAAGCGUGCGCAGGCGGUUCGUUGUGUCGGUGGUGAAAUCCCCGGGCUUAACCUGGGAAUGGCCAUGGAAACUGGCGAACUGGAGUGCGGCAGAGGGGGGUGGAAUUCCGCGUGUAGCAGUGAAAUGCGUAGAGAUGCGGAGGAACACCGAUGGCGAAGGCAGCCCCCUGGGUCGACACUGACGCUCAGGCACGAAAGCGUGGGGAGCAAACAGG